RNAcentral lists this unclassified non-coding RNA (377 nucleotides) under uncultured fungus. Its description in RNAcentral is "sequence contains ITS1". The stretch from base 1 to 104 matches the Rfam family "5.8S ribosomal RNA", at positions 50 to 154 of the family's 154-position model. Lineage: Eukaryota; Fungi. The record is from RNAcentral.
GAAAUGCGAUAUGUAAUGCGAAUUGCAGAAUUCAGUGAAUCAUCAACCUUCGAACGCAGACUGCGCUCUCGGAUAAUCGUGGGAACACGCCUCUUUCAGGGUCAACAAAAGCCAAUCCAGAACGAUACGUAUUAAAGUCAUCGUUUUGGGAUAUUGAGGUGUCUCAGCUAUCACUGGCUGAGUCACUUGAAACAUCGUCAGGAGCUAGAUACCGUGCGAGAUCAAAUCUAACAAGUCUCGAUGGUUGUUACGUUCACCCUUCGUGGCGAAUUUUAUAACCCGUCGAUGACUUCUUGGUCUUCUCCUUUCUAACGUCCUUAUGGAUUUAAUUCCUUCUUUUUUAGACUUGAGAUGAAGCGAUAACCCGCUGACUUUAA